UGUGAUGAUGUGGAAAAAUGUGAAUAAAUUUAAACCUAAGAGUGCCUAAAUACCAGAGUACACCGGUGAGCGGGAAUGAACCCACUUCACAAGUGACGUUAGAGCAUAAGGAAGUACAAAAGAGUGAAUUAAGAAUCGUACCCUCGAAAUAAUCUCCAAUACUAAGAAUCGCCAUGAAUCUUCGACGAUAAGAAAGCUCAACUAAUAAAACCUGGAGGGUGAAGACAAGACAAAGGUGAAUGGCCCUGUAAUUAAAAUUUUAAUAGAAACCAUAUACAACAUUAUAACCCUUCGCUACAACACCUGUAUAAUUUCCAGAAAAUAUCAUAAAUAUACCACAAGAUAGCGUCUCGUUAGCAAUAUCAAAUAAUCAUGUGAUUAAUAACUCAUACUAGUACAUAAGUUGGAGUCACCUAUGGUGACCUGUACGACUUACCCAUAUCUCAUCACAUAUACUAGUUCAUCACAUAUUUCAUCGCAUAUGCUAGCUUAUCGCAUAUUCAUCACAUAUGCUAGCUUAUUACAUAUUCAUCACUUAUGCUAGCUUAUCACAUAUUCAUCACAUUUGCUAGCUUAUCACAUAUUCAUCACAUAUGCUAGCUUAUCACAUAUUCAUCACAUAUGCUAGCUCAUCACAUAUUCAUCACAUAUGCUAGCUCAUCACAUAUUCAUCACAUAUGUUAGCUUAUCACAUAUUCGUCACAUAUGCUAGCUUAUCACAUAUUUAUCACAUAUGCUAGCUUAUAAGUCGAAGUCACCUCUAGUGACCUGUACGACUUAUCUGUAUCUUCUCAUAUGUCUCAUUAAUCAUUUCUAGCAUAUAAGUCGGAGUCACUUAUAGUGACCUGUACGACUUUAUUUAUAGCUCAUAAAUCAAUCUAACCGAAGUCACCUUAAGUGCCCUAUGCGGCACUAACCCUGCACAUGAGUCGGAACCACUUAUAGUGGUCUGUACAACAGGACUGGGUAUAAGUAAGUACGCUCAAGUGCUACGAUCACGUGAAGACUGUGCGAAUAAUCGCAGGUCAUCUACGAGUCGGAACCACCUAUAGUGGUCUGUACGACAGGACUGUGCACCUACCUUGGAUACAAGGUAAGCAUAUGGUGUGGGAGGUGACAUCACAUGA
Molecule: long non-coding RNA, 1127 nt
Filed under: Malus domestica (apple)
Lineage: Eukaryota; Viridiplantae; Streptophyta; Magnoliopsida; Rosales; Rosaceae
Description: long non-coding RNA (MDOM_LNC013132)
Source: RNAcentral